GGGGAAUAUUGGGCAAUGGGCGAAAGCCUGACCCAGCAACGCCGCGUGAGGGAAGAAGGGUUUCGGAUUGUAAACCUCUGUCCUCAGGGGACGAAGGAAGUGACGGUACCUGAGGAGGAAGCCCCGGCUAACUACGUGCCAGCAGCCGCGGUAAUACGUAGGGGGCAAGCGUUGUCCGGAAUGACUGGGCGUAAAGGGCGUGUAGGCGGCCUGAUAAGUAUGAAGUGAAAGUCCUGCUUUCAAGGUGGGAAUUGCUUUGUAGACUGUCGGGCUUGAGUGCGGAAGAGGUAAGUGGAAUUCCCAGUGUAGCGGUGAAAUGCGUAGAGAUUGGGAGGAACACCAGUGGCGAAGGCGACUUACUGGGCCGUAACUGACGCUUAGGCGCGAAAGCGUGGGGAGCGAACAGGAUUAGAUACCCUGGUAGUCCACGCUGUAAACGAUGAAUGCUAGGUGUAGGGGGUAUCGACCCCUCCUAGUGCCGCAGUAAACGCCAUAAGCAUUCCGCCUGG
RNAcentral lists this ribosomal RNA (509 nucleotides) under uncultured bacterium. RNAcentral's name for it is "bacterial SSU rRNA". It matches the Rfam family "Bacterial small subunit ribosomal RNA", at positions 356 to 876 of the family's 1533-position model. The record is from RNAcentral.